RNAcentral lists this ribosomal RNA (468 nucleotides) under uncultured bacterium. RNAcentral's name for it is "partial 16S ribosomal RNA". It matches the Rfam family "Bacterial small subunit ribosomal RNA", at positions 28 to 507 of the family's 1533-position model. The record is from RNAcentral.
GACGAACGCUGGCGGCGUGCUUAACACAUGCAAGUCGAACGGAAAGGCCCUGCGUUUGUGCGGUGCUCGAGUGGCGAACGGGGGAGUAACACGUGUGUAACCUGCCCUUGAUUUUGGGGGAACUUCAGGAAACUGGAGCUAAUAUCGGACAGGAGCUCCUGCUGCGUGGUGGGGGUGGGAAAGUUUCGGCGUUUGGGGAUGGACGAGCGGCUAAUCAGCUUGUUGGUUGGGUAGUGGCUUACCAACGCUUUGACGGAUCGCCGGCCUGGGAGGGUGACCGGGCACAUUGGGCCUGAGAUAGGGCCCAGAGUGGUACGGGAGGCAGCGGUGGGAAACAUUGCACAAUGGGCCGAAGCAUGAUGCAGCAACGUCGGGUGCGGAAUGACGGUUUUCGGGUAAUAAACAGCUUUAGCCUGUGACGACGCGUGAGUGACGGUACCGGAUAAAGAAGCACCGGCUAACUACGUG